GCGGGAGUGCCGGAGUGGUCAAACGGGAUAGGUUCAGGGCCUAUUUGCUUAGCGCAUACGCAGGUUCGAACCCUGUCUCCCGCA
This 84-nucleotide transfer RNA is filed under the name Candidatus Woesearchaeota archaeon CG1_02_57_44. Its description in RNAcentral is "tRNA-Leu". It matches the Rfam family "tRNA". Rfam says of the family: Transfer RNA (tRNA) molecules are approximately 80 nucleotides in length. Their secondary structure includes four short double-helical elements and three loops (D, anti-codon, and T loops). The record is from RNAcentral. RNAcentral also lists the same sequence under 2 other names. Lineage: Archaea; Nanobdellati; Candidatus Woesearchaeota.